RNAcentral lists this ribosomal RNA (277 nucleotides) under Isochrysis galbana. RNAcentral describes it as "partial Bacterial large subunit ribosomal RNA". It matches the Rfam family "Bacterial large subunit ribosomal RNA", at positions 845 to 1120 of the family's 2925-position model. The record is from RNAcentral. Lineage: Eukaryota; Haptophyta; Isochrysidales; Isochrysidaceae.
AUAGCUGGUUCUCCGCGAAAUCUAUUUAGGUAGAGCGUUGCACGAAUACCCCGGGGGGUAGAGCACUGGAUGGGUAAUGGGGACCCACAGUCUUACUGAUCCUAACCAAACUCCGAAUACCCGGGAGUAAUAUGCAGCAGACACACUGCGGGUGCUAAGGUCCGUAGUGAAAAGGGAAACAGCCCUGACCUACAGCUAAGGCCCCUAAUUCAUGGCUAAGUGGGAAAGCAGGUGGGACGACCAAAACAACCAGGAUGUUGGCUUAGAAGCAGCCAUC